ACAGUUAGGGUUUAGAUCCUAACAGUAGCCAGAGUUGGUUAUAUGCAAGAAUGAACCUGCAGCUAUUUGAGAGACAAGCGGGCCAGAGUUUAGCAUCUUUUGAAAUAGUAAAAUUUCUAGUAUUUGGGCAAAGCUCUCCUAUUCUCUACACAGGAAGCAUUUCCUAGGGGUGGAAACAGACAUCAAUUUAUCUUUUCUUUAUUUGCUAUUGCUUUUGUGAAAGAAUUAAAGAUUAUUGUAAUUGAACUUUUAUUGCUGAAUCAAUACAAUUAUUUUACUCAAUAUUUUCUUCUCUAUUACCUUUAUUAUUAUUUCUGGUCCCUUCUCUAUUAGACUGUUAGCUGACAGCAGUGUUGUUAAAGGUGACAAAAGGUGCUAGGCGAGGCGCCAGGUGAGGCAAGGCAAGCCCUUGGCGCCUCGUCUGGCUGAGGUGAGUCAACUUGAAAGA
RNAcentral lists this unclassified non-coding RNA (448 nucleotides) under Hevea brasiliensis (rubber tree). Lineage: Eukaryota; Viridiplantae; Streptophyta; Magnoliopsida; Malpighiales; Euphorbiaceae. The record is from RNAcentral.